CUGAAGCUUCAUUGCUCCAUGGGAAUGACCUCUUCCGUGGUGACCCCUGUGGGGGUGUGGUAAGUCUGUGUGCUCCAUCAAGGGAGGUGACGGGUGUAGCUGAUUCCCCAUGGGAACUGGCUGGAACAGUGGACACAGUUGCUCCCUUAGAAGAAGCACCAGGCAGAGGUACUUCCUCUGGCAAUGCAGAAGGCACAGGCGCUCUCUUAGGGGAUGUGGUGGGUACAGGUACUUCUCUGGGGGAUGCACAGGACAUAGGUGCUUCCUCAGUGGACCUGGACGGUACAGGUGCUUCCACAGGGGGUGCAGCAGGCACAGGGGCUCCCUUGGAGGACCUGUUCAGAAGAGGUGCUCCCACUUCAGUAGACCCAGCGGGUACAGAUGCUCUCUCAGGGGACCUGGCCAGACGAGUUGCUCCCUCAGCGGAGGUGGUGAGUAAAGAUGCCUCCUUGGGGUAUGCAGUAGGCACAGAUGCAUUUAGAGGUGACCUGGCUGGAACAGGUGCUUCCUCCAAGGACGCUGCAGGCACAUGUGCUGCCUCAGAGGAUCUGGCUGGAAGAUGUGCUCCCUCAGGGGAGGUGGUGAGUACAGAUGCCUCCUCAGGGUAUGCAGCAAGCACGAAAGACUUCAGAGGUGACCUGGCUGGAAGAGGAUCUCCCUCAGAGGACCUGGUUGGAAGAGGUGCUCCCUCAGGGGAUGCACCAGGCAAAGGUGUAUCCUCAGGAGUCCUGGCCAGAUCAGGUGCAUCCUCAGGGGAUGCAACAGAAUCAGGUUGCCCAGGGGAUGUGGUGGGAACAGGUGUCCUGGAAGAUGUAGGUCGUCCCAUGGGUUUCCUUAGGGGCAAAGGCGUUAAGAUGAUAUUUCUUGUCACAUACUGCCUGAUAUUUUCAGGGACCCUUAUUUUUCUGUUCAGUGGGGGCCUGGCAGGCACAGGUGCUCCCUGUUGGGACCCAUUGGCAGCAGUUACUCCUUGCAGGGUUCUGGCCAGAACAGGUGCUUCCUCGGGGGAUGCAACAGGCACAGGUGCUUGCUCAGGGGAUGCUGGGGGUAUAGGUCGUCCCAUGGGUUGCCUUAAAGGCAAAGGUGUUAAGAUGGAUUUCCUUGUCAGAUACUGCCUCAUAUUUUCAGGGAUCUUCAGUUUUUGCCUCAGUGGGGGCCUAGCUGGCACAGGUGCUUCCUUUUGGGACCCGUCAGGAACAGUUGCUCCUUGCAGGUUCCUGGAAAGCACAGGCAUUUCCCAUUGAGACUUGUCCGGAACAGUUGGUACUUUUGUGGUCCUGGAAGACACAGGCACUUCCUGUUGGGACCCGUUGGGAACAACUGGUCCUUUUAGGAUCCUGGAAGGCACAGGCACUUCCUGUGUGGAGCUGACAGGAACAGGUGCUCCUUGUGGGGCCUCUAUUUCCUGGUCUAUAGGGAGGUCCCCACACUCAACCUUCUCACAUGAGGAGCGUAAAUGGUCUUCGAUCUCCAUCACUGCCCACCACCGCCCAGCAAGGAGGGCUGUGAUGAGCUCCUCAUGCUCAUCAAAGGGGAUGAGGGUUUCUGUUUUUUGGAUAAGCAUCUUUGAUGGAAUUAAGACAAGUUAUCCAAAAAAAGUGUAUAAUUUCAAACGUUUUUUAAACAAUUAACUGUAUCUGUGAAACACUGUAAGAGAAAGAGAGAGAAGAGGUGAACAAAUAAAAGCAGGUUCAUUUUUUUAAGACUAGGCUAUGCCUACAGGAUGCAAAGGAGGAUGAGUCUUUGCAAAAAAUGUAUUAAAAAUGUUCACAGCAACUAAGCAGAUUAACUUGUGUUGUAAUAAUUGUACCAAUGAAUAUGCAUAACAGAGAUGCAUAUAUUGUGAGCCAUAUAAUGUAAAAACACAUAAUUUUUCUUAUAUACGCGGUUGUCUAUAGGCUAUAAGUUUUAUUUUUUUCUUUAUUAUUAUAUUAAUUACUUGUUAUAGCACUUAUAUUUAAUUGCUCUUUUGUUGUUUUUGAUUGCUUCCAUUGUCCUCAUUUGUAAGUCGCUUUGGAUAAAAGCGUCUGCUAAAUGACUAAAUAU
Molecule: long non-coding RNA, 2046 nt
Organism: Cyprinus carpio carpio
Lineage: Eukaryota; Metazoa; Chordata; Actinopteri; Cypriniformes; Cyprinidae
Source: Ensembl